UUGCACGUACAGGCAGAUGACGUGAAAGAAAUCGCUCGAUUCACGCACGAUUUCCUUUUCCUUCGGAUCCUCGAUCGUCUCGUUCCCUGCCCUUUUGCAUGUUCCGCCGACCGCUAUUCGUCUUCAAGACUUCAACUCCGCCUCCUGACGAACGGCGCGACGACUACGGCAGGUCAAUAGGGAAUUGUUGCCAGGGUGAUCAAACGCGCGCACAUAGCCAGAUUAGACUACGGAGAGAAGCACUGCCAUAUUGGGUUCGGGUGUAAAGUAUCCAUCUGGAUGUGAUAAAAGAAAAAGGAAGGAGGUAGAUGACAUGAAAGGAUCCCUUCUUAAUAAAUCAUAAGAGCCAUCCGAGCACUUCAAAAAAUCUAGACGAGUUGGUGAUAGUUCUUA
This is a long non-coding RNA of Triticum dicoccoides, 393 nucleotides long. RefSeq lists it as uncharacterized. The record is from RefSeq and is a predicted model, not a curated record. Lineage: Eukaryota; Viridiplantae; Streptophyta; Magnoliopsida; Poales; Poaceae. The transcript has 3 exons.